GACGAACGCGUGGCGGCGUGGAUUAGGCAUGCAAGUCGAACGGUAUCAUCUUCGGGGUGAGAGAGUGGCGAACUGGUGAGUAACACGUAGGUUAUCUACCCUCAAGACGGGGACAACCCAGGGAAACUUGGGCUAAUACCGGAUGUGAGCAACUUUUAGUUGUUUGAAAGGUGGCGUAAGCUGUCGCUUGGGGAUGAGCCUGCGUCCUAUUAGUUAGUUGGUGAGGUAACGGCUCACCUAGGCAAUGAUAGGUAGGCGGCCUUAACGGGUGGUCGCCCACACUGGGAUUGAGAUACGGCCCAGACUCCUACGGGAGGCAGCAGUCGAGAAUAGUCUACAAUGGUCGGAAGACUGAUAGUGCGACGCCGCGUGAACGAUGAAUCCCUUCGGGGUGUAAAGUUCUUUUAUAUGUGAGCAGUGCUUCUUAUAUUAACAGUAUGGGGAGAGAGAUAUUAGCAUAUGAAUAAGCAACGGCUAACUCCGUG
This 485-nucleotide ribosomal RNA is filed under the name uncultured bacterium. RNAcentral describes it as "bacterial SSU rRNA". It matches the Rfam family "Bacterial small subunit ribosomal RNA", at positions 28 to 507 of the family's 1533-position model. The record is from RNAcentral.